Molecule: ribosomal RNA, 535 nt
Filed under: uncultured bacterium
Lineage: Bacteria
Description: bacterial SSU rRNA
Rfam family: Bacterial small subunit ribosomal RNA
Source: RNAcentral
AGAGUUUGAUCCUGGCUCAGGACGAACGCUGGCGGCGUGCCUAAUACAUGCAAGUCGAGCGGACCGAACGAGGGCUUGCUCUUGUUUGGUCAGCGGCGGACGGGUGAGUAACACGUGGGCAACCUGCCCGCAAGACCGGGAUAACUCCGGGAAACCGGAGCUAAUACCGGAUAACACCGAAGGCCGCAUGGUCUUCGGUUGAAAGGCGGCCUUUGGGCUGUCACUUGCGGAUGGGCCCGCGGCGCAUUAGCUAGUUGGUGAGGUAACGGCUCACCAAGGCGACGAUGCGUAGCCGGCCUGAGAGGGUGACCGGCCACACUGGGACUGAGACACGGCCCAGACUCCUACGGGAGGCAGCAGUAGGGAAUCUUCCGCAAUGGGCGAAAGCCUGACGGAGCGACGCCGCGUGAGCGAAGAAGGCCUUCGGGUCGUAAAGCUCUGUUGUGAGGGACGAAGGAGCGCCGUUCGAGGAGGGCGGCGCGGUGACGGUACCUCACGAGAAAGCCCCGGCUAACUACGUGCCAGCAGCCGCGGU